This 312-nucleotide ribosomal RNA is filed under the name uncultured bacterium. RNAcentral describes it as "bacterial SSU rRNA". It matches the Rfam family "Bacterial small subunit ribosomal RNA", at positions 29 to 351 of the family's 1533-position model. The record is from RNAcentral.
AGUGAACGCUGGCGGCGUGCUUAACACAUGCAAGUCGAACGAGUAAGUGCUGAAGUAAUACAGAUUACUGCUAGUGGCAGACGGGUGAGUAAUACAUGGGAAUCUGCCUUAGAGCCUGGGAUAACUGUUGGAAACGACAGCUAAUACCGGAUAACACCGAGAGGUCAAAGAUUUAUCGCUUUAAGAUGAGCCCAUGCAAGAUUAGCUAGUUGGUAGGGUAAAGGCCUACCAAGGCGAAGAUCUUUAGCUGGUUUGAGAGGAUGAUCAGCCACACUGGAACUGAGACACGGUCCAGACUCCUACGGGGGGCGA